Molecule: ribosomal RNA, 470 nt
Filed under: uncultured bacterium
Lineage: Bacteria
Description: partial 16S ribosomal RNA
Rfam family: Bacterial small subunit ribosomal RNA
Source: RNAcentral
UGGGGAAUCUUCCGCAAUGGACGAAAGUCUGACGGAGCAACGCCGCGUGAGUGAAGAAGGUUUUCGGAUCGUAAAAACUCUGUCUUUUGGGGCGAACGUGAGUAUGGUGAACAAUCAUAUCUAGUGACGGUACCAAAGGAGGAAGCCACGGCUAACUACGUGCCAGCAGCCGCGGUAAUACGUAGGUGCAAGCGUUGUCCGGAAUUAUUGGCGUAAAGAGCGCGUAGGCGGGAUAGUCAGUCUGUUGUAAAGUGCGGGGCUCAACCCCGUGAUCGCAAUGGAACAGCUAUUCUUGAGUGCAGGAGAGGAAGUGGAAUUCCCAGUGUAGCGGUGAAUGCGUAGAUAUUGGGAGGAACACCAGUGGCGAAGGCGACUUUCUGGACUGUGUCUGACGCUGAGGCGCGAAAGCCAGGGGAGCGAACGGGAUUAGAUACCCCGGUAGUCCUGGCCGUAAACGAUGGGUACUAGGU